GAAAGAAGCCCCACGGUACAAGGAGCGAAGAAGCCCAAACCAUUUACCCAACACUCCUUCUCCCCACCCCGCUCCCAAAACCCCAGUUCGAGCGCGGCGCCGGAGCGCAGAUAAAUAGCUCCCCGCGAACACCUCCAUCUACGGCGGCGAUGGCCGGCGUCGGCGCCGACGGCGGAGGAGACACGGAGAUGGGUGGCUGGUCAGAGCUGCUCAACACCUCCACCAAGCUCCUCGAGCAGGCCGCCCCCACCCCUCACUUCCCUACCCUCCAGAGGAACCUGGACCAGCUCGAGGUGCUCUCCACGAAGCUUAAGGCCAAGACGAUCCGCGCCGAGGCGCCGUCGCAGUCGCUCUCCGCCACCAGGUUGCUGGCGCGCGAGGGGAUCAAUGCGGAGCAGCUCACCAGGGACCUCAAGUCAUUUGAACUCAAGACCACCUUUGAGGAUGUUUUUCCGUCAGAAGCAACUUCUGUCGAGGAAUACCUGCAACAGCUUCAUGAAAUGGCAAUUGUCUCAUCCAUCCAAGGAGCACAAAAGGACAACUUAAAGAGUUUUAACAAUUAUAUGAUGCAAGUUCUUGAGAAGGAGAAGAGAGAUUUCUUGCAGAGUCUAAGCCGACUUUCUACAUUACCAAAGAGAAACACCAAUCUAGCUGGUGGUCUGUCUCGUUAUGCUCUGAUGCCAUCUUCAGCUUCCAGUCCUCAAGCUUCAUCAGGGCUGCCCGCUGCGGAAGUCAUGCCCAUACCUAACAAGACCAUAAUUGAUAGUAAAUCUUCAGUUUAUGCGGGGGUUGUGAAGGAUCUCAACGACGCUAGAGGACGCAGUCUGCCUUUCAGUCCUGCUACAGCUUUCAGAGCUGCCUACGAGUCCUUGUCUCUUGAUGCUACUGGCUUGAAGUCAGUGACCAUGCAGAAAGUGUGGCAUUUGAUUCAGGCAUUAGUAGGGGAAGGGUUAACUCAUAGAAACGUUUCAACAAAAAUGUCACUAGUGGUUGGAGCAAGGCGACACCUUGAAUGGGGUCAUGAGAAGUACAUUAUUGAGACCAUCAACAGCCAGCCAGCACUAGCUGCUCUUGGUGGAUCGGUUGGCAAUCUUCAAAAGAUUCGUGCAUUUCUUCGGGUCCGGUUGCGGGAUCAUGGCGUGUUAGACUUUGAUGCAAGUGACCUUCGCAGACAGCCACCAGUGGAUACAACAUGGCAGCAGAUUUAUUUCUGCUUAAGAACUGGGUAUUAUGAUGAAGCAAGGCAAGUUGCUCAAUCAUCUCGUGCUGCUUACAACUUCGCCCCUCUGCUUGCAGAAUGGAUUACUACUAAUGGUGCUGUAUCAUCAGAGACCGCUCUGACAGCUUCUGAGGAAUGUGAAAAAAUGCUCAGAAUGGGUGACCGACCAGGGCGUCCUGGUUAUGAUAGGAAGAAGUUGCUUCUUUAUGCCAUAAUUUGUGGCUGUCGACGGCAAAUUGACAGAUUACUUAAAGAUCUGCCAACACUUUUCAAUACUAUAGAGGAUUUCUUGUGGUUCAAGUUGUCAGCUCUGCGGGAAUACUCCAGUGCAUCUUCUUCUAAUGUUGCGAGUGAAGGCUUGGUUCCUUAUAUGCUGGAGGAUUUACAAAAUUAUCUGAACAAAUUUGAGCCAUCAUAUUAUACAAAAAAUGGAAAAGACCCCUUGGUCUAUCCCUAUAUUCUACUCUUAAGCAUCCAAUCACUCCCAGCAAUUCUUUAUUUGUCUAAAGAAGUUGGAGAGGAAGGGUACCAUGUUGAUGCUGUGCAUAUUUCAAUUACUCUAGCUGAUCAUGGUAUUCUCCCUGAGGGAGUUGGAUCAGGCCAGAAGAUGGGUGUAAUGGAUGCUUGCGCAGAAGCUGACAGUAUUAUAUGGCAAUAUGGCUCUAUUUACUUGCGCAAUGGCAACCUUGAUUUGGCCUUGGAGUAUUAUGCACAGGCUGCUGCUGCAAUGGGUGGAGGAGAGGUAUCAUGGAUUGGUCAAGGGAAUGCUGAUCAACAACGUCAACGAAGUUCAAUGUUGAAGCAACUGCUCACAGAGAUAUUACUAAGGGACGGUGGUAUUCAACUUCUGCUUGGUCCAAGUGGAAUGGGAGAAGAAGGAGAACUAAAAAAGUAUAUGAUGGAUUGGAGAAGUAGGCAGCAAUUCUUGCUUGAAGCCGCCCAUCGGUGUCAAGAGGCAGGGCUCUAUGACAAAUCAGUGGAAAUUCACAAAAGAGUUGGAGCCUUUGCCAUGGCACUUCAGACAGUAAACAAGUGUCUAUCGGAUGCAGUAUGUGCCCUGGCACAAAAUAUGUUAGAUGGCGAAAGCCGUGCUGUUGCUCUAAUUCAAUCUGGCAAUGAAAUUUUGGAGACAGCCAGAUAUUCUUCUGAAGCCAGUGUUCAAGACAAGGAUCUCAUUUCUGAACAGCAAAUUAUACUGAGACAGCUUGAAGCUAUUCUUCACAUUUAUAGGCUAGCUCGUGCUGGACAAACUGUUGACGCUCUGAGGGAAACCAUCAAACUUCCAUUUCUUCAUUUGGAUCCACAGUCUUCGAAUGUAUCAGUCGAUGUAUUCAGGAAUUUAUCACCCCAUGUUCAAGCUUGUGUGCCAGAUCUCCUGAAGGUUGCUCUAAACUGCAUGGACAAUGUUAGAGAUACCGAUGGGACCCUGCGUGCUGUCAAGUCAAAGUGACAAUGGUUGAAGAGGGAGAUGCCGGUGGAAGUGGGGAAGAGGUUUUCUUUUUAGCUCAAAGGGAGCAAACAUGAUCGAAUAUAUGUGCUGUUUUUUCUCAUUUUUCCCUUUUGUUUUUGUUUUUUGGUUUUUGCUCUUUCGACCCAUGCAGAGGAUUGUAUCAAAGGAUAAACGGCGGAACAGGAAAAGGGCUGCUGAGCGGUGUGUUCGUAGUCGCAUUGUUCUUGAUGGUGAGGAAGUAGGGUUGGAGGAUGAUACCGAAUCCCGUGUUGCAAAGCGAGCCAGACCGAAAGGAAAAGGCAAAUCAUCUUAUGGGGGUGGCCCAACCUCUGCAGAAGCUGCUGAGGUGGGUGAAGUUGGAGUUGAAGGGAAUGAAGGAAACGUUCCUUAGCGACGUUCACAAGCUGGAAGGAUUAGGGCCUCCCCAGGGAGGUUUGUGAAGGUGAACACAGAACUGGCACCUGUUCAAAGGUCUUUCCUGUAUGAGAAGAUGUUAGGCGGCUUGAUAAACUUAGCCGACACACUGCCUUCUGACUUGACGAAGUUCCUAGUCCAGUCGUACGACCCAGACAGUUCAGCUUUGGUAUUUCCAGGCAGGGGCACUAUUCCAGUAGAUGCUGCUAGUGUGCACAGGAAUUUUGGUUUACCCAACAGAGGGCCGCGUCUGAAAUACAUUGUUGAAAAGGAGGUUGUGAAGAGUUUCAAUCACAUGUUCAACCACACCGGGCCACCCAAACACCCCACGAUCACCGAAUUCAGCAAGACGAUGAGAGCUAUGAAGGGAACAACUGAUAACAAGUUCCUCACUGGCUGGCUUGCAAUUGGUUUCAACACCUUUUUAGCUCCUACCACAAGUCUUUCUCUGAGCCCACAUUGCUACGGUGCUGUCCUAGAACCUGAUGUUCUGUUGAAGAGUAAUGUGAGCUUAUUUGUUGUUGAGCACAUAAACAAAGCAUUCCGCAACAUGGGUGAGGACAAGCAAACAGUCUGUUGCUAUCUGUAUCAUUUGAUGGUGAGCUGUAAUUAAAUUUUGUCUCUGUUAAACAUAGUUUUCUACAUGGUGUGCUUUUAUCACCAAUGUGCUCAUAUGUUGUUUUC
This 3767-nucleotide ribosomal RNA is filed under the name Triticum aestivum (bread wheat). RNAcentral's name for it is "partial small subunit ribosomal RNA". Lineage: Eukaryota; Viridiplantae; Streptophyta; Magnoliopsida; Poales; Poaceae. The record is from RNAcentral.